AUCUUCUUUUUCCUUUUUAUGCUAUGUGGUUCUGUUAAAUGGAGCAUUCUGAUCCAUUUUGUUCUAAUCCAUGACCACCAUCUAAUGGGUUUUAAGGACAUGGAAGCAAAAGUUAAUUUCAUUUCAUGUUGCUGCAGAUUUGUUCAUACUAUUGUAUAUAAGAUUCAAAUAAUUUCGGAUUUCAGUACUAAUUGCCAGCUGGAUGAUAUUGCACUCUGAAUUCCCACAUAUAUUUUGCAGGGAAUAUUACAUAAACUAGUUAAAGCUUUCACUGAAAGUACAAAAACUAGUUAUUAAUUAAUAUCAAUGUUAUAUAUAACUAUGGGUGUGACCGUGUAACAUGUAAUGUAUUGAGAAUUGAGGUUGUAGGGAUUGGUGUGUCUCCAUAAUGGAAGAUGCAGAACCCAACUCACACUUUUGCAUAGACCUGCUUCUGCUUUGUGGAGUAGUGUACUGUACUGCAAUUUUUUUUCUUGUUUUGGUUGUUAUUGUAAAACACAAGUUAUGAAAAGGGAACUAUGAGUUUAAUUUCUAAAAUGGUAUGUUUUGUUUACGAUGUAAUGAGAAGAAAGGUUG
Molecule: long non-coding RNA, 576 nt
Organism: Vigna unguiculata (cowpea)
Lineage: Eukaryota; Viridiplantae; Streptophyta; Magnoliopsida; Fabales; Fabaceae
Source: RefSeq, a predicted model, not a curated record